This 471-nucleotide ribosomal RNA is filed under the name uncultured bacterium. RNAcentral describes it as "bacterial SSU rRNA". It matches the Rfam family "Bacterial small subunit ribosomal RNA", at positions 355 to 824 of the family's 1533-position model. The record is from RNAcentral.
UGGGGAAUUUUGGACAAUGGGCGCAAGCCUGAUCCAGCAAUGCCGCGUGCAGGAUGAAGGCCUUCGGGUUGUAAACUGCUUUUGUACGGAGCGAAACGGCUCUACCUAAUACGUAGGGCUAAUGACGGUACCGUAAGAAUAAGCACCGGCUAACUACGUGCCAGCAGCCGCGGUAAUACGUAGGGUGCGAGCGUUAAUCGGAAUUACUGGGCGUAAAGCGUGCGCAGGCGGUCUUGUAAGACAGAUGUGAAAUCCCCGGGCUCAACCUGGGACCUGCAUUUGUGACUGCAAGGCUGGAGUGCGGCAGAGGGGGAUGGAAUUCCGCGUGUAGCAGUGAAAUGCGUAGAUAUGCGGAGGAACACCGAUGGCGAAGGCAAUCCCCUGGGCCUGCACUGACGCUCAUGCACGAAAGCGUGGGGAGCAAACAGGAUUAGAUACCCUUGUAGUCCCUGAGCGGGCUGGCAAGGCGCG